GAUGAAGAACGUAGCGAAAUGCGAUAAGUAAUGUGAAUUGCAGAAUUCAGUGAAUCAUCGAAUCUUUGAACGCACAUUGCGCCCGCCAGUAUUCUGGCGGGCAUGCCUGUCCGAGCGUCAUUUCAACCCUCGAACCCCUCCGGGGGGUCGGCGUUGGGGAUCGGCCCUUUACGGGGCCGGCCCCGAAAUACAGUGGCGGUCUCGCCGCAGCCUCUCCUGCGCAGUAGUUUGCACACUCGCAUCGGGAGCGCGGCGCGUCCACAGCCGUUAAACACCCCAAACUUCUGAAAUGUUGACCUCGGAUCGGGUAGGGAUACCCGCUGAACUUAAGCAUAUCAAUAAGCGGAGGA
RNAcentral lists this unclassified non-coding RNA (350 nucleotides) under soil metagenome. RNAcentral describes it as "partial contains 5.8S ribosomal RNA, internal transcribed spacer 2, and large subunit ribosomal RNA". The stretch from base 1 to 120 matches the Rfam family "5.8S ribosomal RNA", at positions 35 to 154 of the family's 154-position model. The record is from RNAcentral.